This 510-nucleotide ribosomal RNA is filed under the name Drosophila kualapa. RNAcentral's name for it is "partial 16S ribosomal RNA". It matches the Rfam family "Bacterial large subunit ribosomal RNA", at positions 1826 to 2597 of the family's 2925-position model. The record is from RNAcentral. Lineage: Eukaryota; Metazoa; Arthropoda; Insecta; Diptera; Drosophilidae.
GUCUUUUUGAAAUAAAUUAAAAGUCUAACCUGCCCACUGAAAAUUUUAAAUGGCCGCAGUAUUCUAACUGUGCAAAGGUAGCAUAAUCAUUAGUCUUUUAAUUGAAGGCUGGAAUGAAUGGUUGGACGAAAUAUUAACUGUUUCAUUUAAAUUUUUUAUAGAAUUUUAUUUUUUAGUCAAAAAGCUAAAAUAAAUUUAAAAGACGAGAAGACCCUAUAAAUCUUUAUAUUUUGUUUAUUUUAAUUAUAAAGAUUAUUUUUAUUAUAAUAAAUUAAAAUAUUUUAUUGGGGUGAUAUUAAAAUUUAAAAAACUUUUAAUUUUUGAAACCAUUAAUUUAUGAAUAAUUGAUCCAUUAAUAAUGAUUAAAAAUUUAAGUUACUUUAGGGAUAACAGCGUAAUUUUUUUGGAGAGUUCAUAUCGAUAAAAAAGAUUGCGACCUCGAUGUUGGAUUAAGAUAUAAUUUUGGGUGUAGCCGUUCAAAUUUUAAGUCUGUUCGACUUUUAAAUUCUU